Molecule: non-coding RNA, 1761 nt
Organism: Cricetulus griseus (Chinese hamster)
Lineage: Eukaryota; Metazoa; Chordata; Mammalia; Rodentia; Cricetidae
Source: RefSeq, a predicted model, not a curated record
UAGGAAUACUGGAAGACUUCCUACAAGGAGUGAGAAGUUGGGUGUUUUCACAUUCCUCUCAACUUUGACGACACUGAAAAGUUUUUAUGUGGUGGCCAUGACAAAGUCCAGAUGCUCCGGACCCCCAGGAACAGUUUCUGAGCAUGAAGAACCAGGCUCCUUUGUGGGAUGACACAUCGCAAGCCCUUUCAGAAGAGCCUGCAUGCACAGGAGUGUCUCUCCUAUGGGACAGAGGCACAUCCCAUCUGGAUGUCCCCAAGAAACAUCACUUCUGCUCUACAGAGAGCAAAGGUCACUAUCAUGACCACACAGAGGAUAAUGACCCAGGGCCUGAAGACCCCCAGGGACGUCUGGACUUUGAAGAUACACAGGCCACAGAAUGAGGAAGUAGCUCUGGAUGCGCAAGACAGAGUUGGGAAACAGAACAGAACAACGUAAAUAAUGAACAGAACAGUGUUCUCACUUCCUAUCCAGUCACCUACGAUGGCCACACUGCUAUUCUCCCCCUGGGGGAAACGACACACCGCCAUGUGUCCUGUGCUAUGGAGUCUGAGCUCACUUAUAGUCUGUGCUUCAAUAGAUUUGUGGAGAAGGACCCUGCAGUCCAUUGGUAUGGAAGAAGUAACCUUUCCCCUAGAUACUGGGAGAACCCCCAAAAUAGUGAAAAUAAACAAAAGUGCUUUGAAGGUCCCAGAGGUGUCCCCAUCCCAAACGGAUGCCACACUUUGCCUGCUGCAGCACAGUUCGGGGCCAACUCACAGACUGCAGAAACCACGCAUGAGAUGCCAUUCUGAGGGGCCACAUACACCUUUACCUGAAGGGAGUUCAAGCCUGGUUAGUAGCUUGCAAUUCCUGGCUGCCUACCAGGUCUCAGGAUAGGAGUCAAGUCUACUUAGAGUUUCAUGUGGGUUGACUUAACCAUAAACUAAGCAGGCAGCCUGGUGAAAUCUGAGCAUUUUGGUUGUGUUUUAAGAUCUGGAGGUGGUAGAAGGAAAAAGACACCCUUUGAAUUCCUUCAGUGUCUGUUAGUCACUCACUGAUCAAGUUUUAUGCACUGGGCAUGUAGUAGGACCCUGAAAACCAUGACCUGUCUGUGCUAGCCACGAGCUAGAAUGUACACAACAGUAGCAUCCAAGAUGAAUAGCCUCCCACAGCGCCUGGGUGGGGCUGCAGACGCAAGAACACUGGCUACUUUGGCUCCUGAGUUACCAGAUUCCAGAGUCUGUAUUAGAAGGAAAGACGGAAAUCUUUUUUUCCCUCCAGAGAGAGGUUAAUACUCAGGGAGGAAGUGUCCCCUUGUAUGCACCUGCUGACAGGCUUUCCAAAGGCUGCUGUUAGGGAAUUUUCUUCCUUGAAAUUCCUCCAGGGCUGGGUGCAGGGAAGCCACCAAAUGGGACUGGACUUCCCCAUGACUCAUGGAUAAGAUUGGACCUAACCUGUUUUCGGCUUGGUAAACUGAGGUCCACAAUAGGGAUAGAACAGUGAUCACGCCCAAGUGGAACUCUGGGCUCUGAUUCUCUGACUUACACUGAACCCCUGCCUACACAAAACAGAAGGUUGUCUAACAGGGCUUUCCGUGCUUUUCAGUAGAAUAGCUGAGACACAAGGACCACAGAACUCCUCUCACAAGUUCUGGGUCCCAUUUGUGAGACUUUAUGCCUUCACCCACGGAAGAAGCCAGCCCCAUGCAGAACCUACACUGGCAGCAUUGUCUCUUACGGGGUCUCGCCACUAGGAAACCCAGAGUUCCUCAAUACCUAA